AUGGCUUCGAUGACUAUGCUCGUCUCGUGGACCACCUGGAACGAAAGGAAUGCACGAGUCUUCCGAUACAAGUGUGCUCCGCCGGCUAUUUUGCUCGCUUCCAUUGUCAAUGAGGCAAAACUUUGGGUCACUGUUAGGACAAAGAAAUUAGGGGCCAUUAUUUUGCGCAAGUAA
This 174-nucleotide ribosomal RNA is filed under the name Triticum aestivum (bread wheat). RNAcentral's name for it is "partial small subunit ribosomal RNA". Lineage: Eukaryota; Viridiplantae; Streptophyta; Magnoliopsida; Poales; Poaceae. The record is from RNAcentral.